Aedes albopictus (Asian tiger mosquito) is the source of this 2597-nucleotide long non-coding RNA. RefSeq lists it as uncharacterized. NCBI's taxonomy places the organism in Eukaryota, Metazoa, Arthropoda, Insecta, Diptera, Culicidae. The record is from RefSeq and is a predicted model, not a curated record. The transcript has 2 exons.
AAGACAACGGGGUGGAUUUCAUCAAGAAGGAUAUCAAUCCACCAAAUUGCCCUCAGUCCCGCCCAAUCGAGAAACAUUGGCCAAUGGAUCACUAACCUUUCAGUACUCGCGCCAAUUUUUGUAACGCGAGCAGUCGCGCGUUGUACUUUGUACAACACCCAUACAUUCUGAAAUAUCUAAGGAUCCUGAUUGUUUAGAGGAGGACUGUCUUUGGCAAAGUUGUUGUAAAUUUCAUGGGCUACUUGAUGCUGACAAAGUUGAUUCGUAAUACGUCCACUAGGCGGCGCUAGUGAGCAAUAUCAUGUUAUAUCUUAUAUCUCAGGAUCCUGAUGUCUUAGAAAGAUGGUGUCUUCGGCAAAGUUGUUUGGUAAGUCAACGGCUUACAGAUUAUUGGCCGUUUAAUUGGAAAUUUCACCACUAGGCGGCGCUAGUGAGCAAAUAAACUUUAUAUUCUAUGUAUCUCGGGAUCCUGAUUACUUAGAAAGAUGAUGUCUUUGACAAAGUUGUUUAGUAGGUCAAGGACUUACGGAUGAUUCGCAGUUUAAUUUGAAAUUUCACCACUAGGCGGCGCUAGUGAGCAAUUUCAUGUUAUUUCUUAUAUCUCAGGAUCCUGAUGGCUUAUAAAGAUGGUGUCUUCGGCAAAGUUGUUUGGUAGGUCAAGUACUUACGGAUGAUUCGCAGUUUAAUGUGAAAUUUCAUCACUUGGCGGCGCUAGUGAGCACGUAAAUAUUAUAUAUUAUGUAUCUCUGAACCCUCAUUACUUAGAAAGAUAGUGUCUUCGGCAAAGAUGUUUGGUAUAUCAAGGGCUUAUAGAUGAGUGACAGUUGCGCUAGUGAGCAUGUAAAUUUUUAAUCGCAUGUAGCUCAGGAUCCCGAUUAAAAAGGCACGGGACACCGUUUUCAGCCAGAGGCUGUACAGACUGAACAGAACUUAGCACUAGACCAUGGACACGACAUACAUUACAUGCACUAGUGGAUAGCAUGGUGCGGUUACACGCUUGGUAACGCUAACCGAACGGCCACGAAGCUCCACUUUACUCAGAAAGAUGGUGUCUUCGGCAAAGUUGUUUGGUAGAUCAAAGACCAAAUGGAGAAAAAGUUACCUCUUGUGCCGACCUUCUAAAAGAUCGAAAACUUACAGAUAGUUGUCCGUUUGAAUCGUAAUUUCACCACUAGAUGACGCUAGUGAACAUAACAAAUGUAUAUGCAAUAGUUCUCAGGAUCCUGGUUACUAGAAGAGAGAUGGUGGUUUCGGCAAAGUUGUCAAAUAGGUUAAGUGCAUUUGGUUGAUGGGUCGUUGAAAUCAAUAUUUCGCCAGUAAGUGGUGCCAAUGAGUAUGCAAAUUUUAUAUCUUAUAUAUCUCCGAGUCUGAUUACCUGGGAAGUUGAUAUAUUUGGCAAGGUUGGUUGGUAGAUCAAGGGCUUUCAGUUGUUUGACCAUUUGAUUCGUGCCUCUGCCACCAGAAGACGCUAAUUGUAAAUUUGCAAAAGCAUGAACGUGUUAUUAUUCAUCUAGAAAAAAAAAUCAACGGGCUGUAAAUUUUUAUACUUCCGAAAGUUUUCAAAAUUUGAAAAUUACACAACUAGUUGAUUAUAAUUUGUUUAAAUUUGCACUUGAUUGAUUAAUUUUACAUGAAGUUAAAGCGCUUAGUAAAAUAUUCAAUAUCUGACCGUCGUAUUUCAAUAUACUCUAUCUUAAGGUUGUCAAUGUCACGGGAUAAGUACAUCCAUCCUUUAUCCAUCAAACAACAAUGUCGAGGACAUCAUCUUUCUAAGUAAUCAGGAUCUUGAGAUAUAUGAAGUAUAAAAUGGGAAUGCACACUAGUGCCACCUGGAUGUGAAAUUGCACGUCAUAUUUGUCUUCAUCAGUUAGUGUUUGAUCUACUAAACAACUUUUCAGAAGACACCGUCUUUCUAAGUAAUCAGGGUCCUGAGACACAUGAGUUAUAAAAUUUGAAUACCCACUAGCGCCACCUAGAUGUGGAGUUUCAAAUCAUACGGCUCUCCAUCAGUUAGUGUUCGAUCUACUAAACAACUUUGCUGAAGACAUCAUCUUUCUAAGUAAUCAGGAUCUCGAGAUAUAUGAAUUAUAUUAUUUGAGUACUCACUUGCUCCACCUGGAUGUGGAAUUCCACAUCAUACUUGUCUUCAUCAGUUAGUGUUUGAUCUACUAAACAACUUUGCAGAAGACACCAUCUUUCUAAGUAAUCAGGGUCCUGAGAUGUAUGAGUUAUACAAUUUCAAUGCCCAUUAGCGCCACCUAGAUGUGGAGUUUCAAACCAAACGGCUCUCCAUCAGUUAGGGUUUAACCAACCAAACAACUUUGCCGAAGACACCAUCUUUCUAAGUACUCAGGAUCCUGUUAUAUGGGAUAUAAAAAUUACAUGCUCACUAGCGCCGCCUAUCGGUUGAAAUCUGAAUUUCUCAGAUCACCUCGCGAAGGCCCUUGAUAUCCCAAGUAACUUUGCCGAAGACACCAUAUUUCUAGAUCAUUUAGAUUUUGAAAUACACUAAUUCACAUUCAACUGUCUAUCUUAUCUUAAAUAUAGUACGUUCUUCAUAUUGCGAUUUUCAAUUUUCCGCAUUAUAAGGAGUUAUA